This 7440-nucleotide long non-coding RNA is filed under the name Manihot esculenta (cassava). Its description in RNAcentral is "long non-coding RNA (MESC_LNC003261)". Lineage: Eukaryota; Viridiplantae; Streptophyta; Magnoliopsida; Malpighiales; Euphorbiaceae. The record is from RNAcentral.
AAUUCUAAUCCAUUAAAAUUUACAUGCUGUAACGACCCCAAAAUGGACCGUCACCGGCACUAGGAUUCAGGUCGGCUUAAGGCCGCCAGAACCCGUAGCAAGCCUGCUAUACUCUCUGGGUACCUGUAAAUCUCAUACAUGAUCAUACAUUUCCUGUGAAAAUAAAAACUUUUCUCUGGACCAAGGCUUAACCUGUGCUUGCACUAUCUCUGUACGCUGUACCCCUGACUAGAGCUUGCUCUAGAUGGGUUAACUCAUACCUGUUAAGCCUGGUUUCUCACAUCUUCAUAAAACUGUUAUACAAACAGACCAUGUACACAAAAGAUUUACAAUACCACUGAAUCAAGCAUAUUUCUAUCUCUAUACAACUAUUACAUCUCUUUAUCUAAUUAUAUGUCCACACUAUACUACUACAAAGCUCUUGACUCUUUCUGUACUCUGCUGAUCUUCCCCUGUACAACCUGUACACUGAACCUGCAAGACUGGGGUUAAGGAAGUGGGAUGAGCUCUAUAGCCUAGUGAGUAGAACAGUAAAACAAACAUGAUCUUAUGGAAUGCAUCAUAUCACAGACAAAUCACAUCAAGGGUAAACCUGUCACCAAAUAGUCCAGUAUCUCAUACCAGGGCGUAGUCAAAGGCACCUGGUUUUCCUGUCUCAUAUAUAUAUAUGUGUGUAUAUAACACCUGUACUUACCAUUGUGCCAGGGCGUAGUCAAAGGCUCCUGGACUUCUCUAUACCUGCCAGGGCGUAGUCAAAGGCUCCUGGACUUAUCUCAGUGACUAUUGGAUCAUUCAGCAUUCACCCACAUCAACAAAUAACUAUGCAAUGCAACAUAUUUGUGGAUACUAAUGCAAUCAACCUACUGCAUAAUCAUGGUGCAUGAAAUAUGCUAAAAACAUUCCAUUUCUCAUUUAAAAGAAUUAGGUUUAGUUCCACUCACCUCUGGCUAUCUGGACUGACUCUGCAAACUCUGACGCAGUACUCACUGCUGCUCCCUUUGGUUCCUCUGGUCUGUGCCUACACAGAUGGACUCAAAUGAGGGACCAAACUAGCUCAAGAACGACCCUAUAAAACUCCCCACGGAAUCCCCUUAAACUCCCUAAAACAAUCAUGCAAAGCAAGCAAAGGACGGCUGGACAGGGCACUUUCGGCGGCAGGUUCGGCGGCCGAAAGUCCUCUCCAGAGUCGAAACUCAUGCACCUUCGGCGGCCGAAUCUCUACUUUCGGCAGCCGAACCCUUUCGGGGGCAAGUUUCGGGGGCUGAAAGGCACUCCAGAGACGAAAGUCUCUAACCUUCGACGGCCGAAACUCCCCUCCAGAGCCGAAAGUCCAAAGGCUCGGGGGUAAGCUUAGGCAACCGAAGCCACCUCCUCAGCACAUUCGGCGGCCGAACCAUUCUUCGGCGGCCGAGGCUGGGUUCAUCAGUACGGCAAAACCUUGCUCUGCCUCACGCCAAAAUGCACCAAACUCUCCCAAACUCAAACACCUCAAUUCCUCAACAUGCAUACACCUAAGCAUAUGCUCAAAGGGGUCAAAAACUACCUUAAAACCCCAACACCCCAACAAAACAAAACACAUAACACAUGAACAAGCUUAACUCACAAAAACAUCAAAAACUCACUCUUUACCCUAUUCAUGCAACUCUCCCCCAAAACCUCAUAAAACCUUCAUGAAUCAUAAAAAUAAGUUCAGGAUCUUCACUUACCUCUUGAAAUCAAGAAGAUGAACGAUCCUAACGUGGAGAUAUGGAGCAACUCUCCUUCAAACUCUCCAAACUUCAAAACUUAAUGUUUUUAGCUCAAAACCUUCAAAAUAACAUAAAAAUCAAUCAAACCUUUGCAAGAUUGGAUGAAAACAUGAAGAAUACUCAAGAAGGACAGGGUCUCACCUCAGAAAGUGAAAGAAACAGGCGAUCCUUAUCAUUUCAACCGACUGAGGGCCUUUUAUAGGUGGCUAGCCAGACCACCUUCGGCGGCCAUACGUGAAACUGAAAGCCAUGCAUGUUCGGCGGCCGAAUGUCACCUUCGGCGGCAGAACCUGGCUUUUCUGCCUUGGUUCUUUUCUCUCAAAAACUCAUUUCAUUUUAGCUUUACAACAUUAAAACAUACUACAUUCCUUUAAAAAAAAUAUAAAUCUUACCCGUCUAGAGAAUUCUGACAUCCUGGAUUCCACCGGACGACAGGAAUUCCGAUGUCAGAUUCUAGCCGGGUAUUACAUUCUCCCCCCCUUAAGAACAUUUGUCCUCGAAUGUUCCUAAAACAAACAAAUAAAUCGAUAUAAGUGAGAUCCCCAAGAAUCUCCACAUCAGGCUCACCAAGAACCUGACCCGGAUCCCACACAAAUUUCCGUAGCAUAGAAACAUGAAAUACCGGGUGAAUUCUCUCCAUCGAAGUAGGUAAAUCUAGCUUAUACGACACAUUUCCGAUCCUCUGCAAAAUCUCAAAGGGUCCAAUGUACCGUGGAGCUAGCUUACCCUUUUUCCCAAAACGAACCACUCCUUUCAUUGGAGACACCUUCAGCAAUACCCAAUCACCCUCCUGAAACUCUAUCUGUUUCCUGCGAAUGUCUGCAUAACUUUUCUGUCGACUCUGAGCUGUUCUAAUUCUCUCUCUGAUCAUGGGCACUGUUCUACUGGUAAUUUCUACUAAUUCUGGCCCUGCAAGAGCCUUCUCUCCUACCUCUUCCAAGCAAACAGGUGAUCUGCACUUCCUCCCAUAUAAAGCUGCAUAAGGAGCCAUCCCUAUACUAGCAUAAUGGCUGUUAUUGUAGGCAAACUCCACCAGAGGUAGAUGCUGCCUCCAAGAACCGCCAAAGUCUAACACACACAAUCGGAGCAUAUCCUCUAUGGUCUGGAUGGUCCUCUCAGACUGUCCAUCAGUCUGUGGAUGGAAAGCAGUGCUAAAAUCUAACCUCGUACCCAUCGCACUCUGCAGACUCCGCCAAAAUUUGGAGGUGAACUGAGGUCCUCUGUCUGAAACUAUAGACACUGGAAUUCCAUGUAGUCUUACUAUCUCAUCCAGAUAUACCUGUGCUAACUUAUCCACAGAAUAGUUACUCCUAACUGGAAUGAAAUGAGCAGAUUUCGUGAGUCUGUCCACAAUCACCCAUAUAGAGUCUAUUCUGUUGGACGCUGCCGGUAAGCCCACUACAAAAUCCAUAGCUAUGUUCUCCCAUUUCCACUCUGGAAUCGGCAGUGGGUUAAGCAUUCCAGCAGGCUUCUGAUGUUCUAGUUUCACCCUCUAGCAAACCUCACAGGCUGUCACAAAUUGCGCUACUUCUUUCUUCAUGGCUGGCCACCAAUAUACCCUUUUCAGGCCCUGAUACAUCUUGGUGGCUCCUGGGUGAACACUAUAUCUCGCAUUAUGAGCUUUCCUCAUAAUGUCUUCCUUCAGACUGCUACUAUCUGGUACACAAAGUCGACUCCCAUAGCGGAGGAUCCCUUUGCUGUCAAAUCUGAACUCUACACUGUUGCCUGACUGAACAGUCCUGGCAAGUUUCAUUAACUCUGGGUCCUCAUGCUGUUUCUGAGCUAUCUGCUCCAGAAACACUGGUGUCACUCUCAUCUGUGCUAUCAACGCACCUGUACCAGGCAAUUCUAGCUGUAACCCUUCCUCUAUGAGCUUGUAAAGCUCCAUCACUACCGGUCUCCGCUCUACUGCUAUAUGGGAUAAACUGCCUAGUGACUUCCGACUUAGAGCAUCUGCCACAACAUUCGCCUUACCCGGAUGAUACUGGAUCUUACAAUCAUAAUCACUGAGCAAUUCUACCCAUCUUCGCUGCCUCAAAUUCAGCUUUCUCUGGCUCAAGAUGUACUGUAGACUCUUGUGAUCAGUGAAGAUCUCGCAUUUAACCCCAUAAAGGUAAUGCCUCCACAUCUUGAGUGCAAAGAUAACUGCUGCCAUCUCUAGGUCAUGGGUGGGGUAAUUCACCUCGUGCCUCUUCAACUGUCUAGAAGCAUACGCAAUCACCCUAUCAUUCUGCAUCAAAACACAACCCAAUCCCACUCGAGACGCAUCAUAGAACACUGUGAAAUUCUCAUUACUAACGGGCAGAGUUAACACCGGUGCCGAUGUCAAUCUCCUCUUGAGCUCUUCAAAGCUCUCUUCGCACUGAUCUGACCAGAUAAACUUCUGGUUCUUCUGAGUCAGUUUGGUCAUAGGGGCCGCUAUCUUUGAGAAGUCCUGAACGAACCUCCUGUAGUAACCUGCCAGUCCCAAAAAACUUUUAAUCUCUGUCACUGUAGUGGGUCUGGGCCAGUUAGCUACAGCCUCUAUCUUCUUGGGGCCUACCUCAAUCCCUUCUGCUGAUACUACAUGUCCUAAGAAGGAAAUGCUCCUUAACCAAAACUCACACUUAGAGAACUUGGCAUACAAACCAUGUUCUCUCAAUGUCUGUAAAACUAUCCUCAGAUGUUGGGCAUGCUCCUCUGCAUCUCUGGAAUACACUAAAAUAUCAUCAAUGAAAACAAUGACAAAGUGAUCCAGAAACUCACUGAAAACUCUGUUCAUGAGAUCCAUAAAUGCUGCAGGGGUGUUAGUCAACCCGAACGGCAUUACUAAGAACUCAUAAUGCCCAUAUCUGGUCCUGAAAGCUGUCUUUGGCACAUCUGCCUCUCUGACUCUCAACUGAUAAUACCCGGAUCUCAGAUCUAUUUUAGAGAAACAACCUACUCCAGCUAGCUGGUCAAAUAGAUCAUCAAUCCUAGGUAGAGGAUACCUAUUCUUGGUAGUGACCUUGUUCAACUGUCUGUAGUCGAUACAAAGUCUGAGGGAUCCAUCCUUCUUUUUGCCAAAAAGUACUGGAGCACCCCAAGAUGAGGUACUAGGGUGGAUGAAACCCUUAUCUACCAAUUCCUGCAACUGUUCUUUCAACUCCUUUAACUCUGCUGGCGCCAUCCUGUAGGGAGGAAUAGAGAUAGGUCUGGUAUCAGGCAGUAAUUCAAUUUCAAACUCUAUCUCCCUAUCAGGUGGUAGUCCUGGAAGUUCAUCUGGGAAAACAUCUGGAAAUUCUCGAACUACUGGUAUCGAGGCUGGUUCCCUAACCUGACUAUCUAGCUCCCUCACAUGAGCUAGAAACCUCUGACAACCCCUCCUAAGCAAACGACGAGCCUGAAGGGCUGAAAUCAAACCUCUGGGUGUACCCCUCCUGUCUCCUCUGAAGACACACUCUGACCCAUCCUGGUCUCUGAGACUAACUACCUUGUCUCUACAGUCUAAAGUAGCACCAUAUGCAGAUAGCCAAUCCAUCCCUAGAAUGACAUCAAAAUCCGUCAAAUCUAGAACCACAAGGUCAGCUGGAAGGCAUCUACCCUCGACGAACAUUGGACUGAAACGACAGACUGACACUGCCACUGAUGGAUCACAUUUGGGUCCACUGACCCAGAGAGGACACUCUAACUCAGAGAUCAUCAAACCCAACCUCUCUAUAGCUCUCGAAGCAAUAAAGGAAUGAGAAGCACCGGGGUCCAUCAAAGCGUAUACAUCAGAACACCCUAUGAUGAGAUUACCUGACACCACUGUGUUCGACGUGUUUGCUUCCUCUUGAGUCACAGUGAAAAUCCGUGCUGGGGCUACCGGAUUUCCACCUCGGGAACCUGCUGCUGAAGUAGAGACUCACCCUCUCCCUCUACCUCUGCCACUACUCUGAGAUACGGCUGGAGCUGUUGGCUGUACUACACUGCCUGAACUCAUCUGCUGGGAUGGUGCCACAAAGGUCCUUCCUGUCCACACCUAAAGCAGGCUGAAGAUCCCAACUGACAAGCUCCCCUGUGUGGUCUCCCACAUCUCCUACAAACUGGACUAGCUGUGCCAAAGCUUGAGCCACUACCCAUUCCCAGACUAGACUUGGCUUUACUCCAGAACUUAUUCUUCAUUCCUUUUACUCUAUCCCAUCUCUUGCUGCCUGAAGUUCCUGCACUGGGGGCCUUAGAACCCGAAGCCUGUGCCUUUGACUAUUUUUGAACAUUGGCACUUGCUUCCAUUUUCCUGGCUGCGUCCACUAUAGAGUGGAAACUCUCCUUCUCUGCUGGAAGAAUCAAGGAAGAAUACCUGGAAUGCAGUCUCAUAGUAUAUCUCCUUGCUUUCUUCUGAUCAGUAUCAUAGGCUUGACCCACAUACUGAAGCAAAUCCAAGAACUUAUCUGUGAAUUCAUCAACACUCAUCUCGUCUGUCUGUCUCAACUGCUCAAAUUCUAUUACUUUCAUCUCCCUGGAACUAUCAGGAAAAGCCCACCCUGCAAACUCAUUGGCGAACUCUCCCCAAGAUAUGUUGUCCAUCCUGUGUUCCACAUAGUUCUUGAACCAUUCUUGAGCUUUCUUACACUUAAGUGUAAACCCCGCCAUCUCAAUGGCUCUACUAUCAUCAGCUCCCAAUUCACUGGUGAUCAUCCUAACUGAUCUGAGGUACUCAAAUGGAUCGUCUCCCAUGUUGUAUUUGGGAGCAUCCAAUUUCAGGUACUCUGUCAUUUUCACCUUACUUCCCCCAGAUGAGCUACGUUGAGGUAUUUGAACAACAGGGACUACUGGUUCUGGUGGAGGUACUGAUUCAUUUGGUUCUGGGUAUGCUGCACUUGGAGGGAUAGGUGAAGGUGGAUACAUGGGAUAUGGUGGGUAAUAAUGAGGAUAAGGCAUAUAUGGCAUGUACGUAGGAUAUGGAACAAAACUAGAGUACUCCGACGUACCUCCCAUCGGAUACCCUGGGUCCUGAGGAAAGGAUGGAUAGCCAAAACCUGAGGUCUGAGCGCCUCCCUGAGACUCUCCCAUACCUUCUUCAGAUCUACCCAUACCCAUGCUUUCAUCCAUAGACUGGUCAAUCUCCUCCCUCACUUUUUCUGAUCUCUCUCCUCUAACUGUUCCUCUUCUGCUCUCGUCUAAAGACCUUCUAGGGUCUAUUGACGUACCUUCCCGGCUAGAUCUCUGAGACCUUGCCCUUGGCAAUGCAGGAGGACGAGCAGCUAUUCUCUCACUAUCUGGUGGGACUCCAGUCAAUCGAGCUGAUCGACGAGUUCCUCUCAUUUUAACUCUGAAAAACAACACAUAACAUAGCAUAUCAGCAUAUAAUUAACUCAUAUCAAUAAUGCACAUGCAUAUCAUGGCAUUUCAUAGCAUCAAAUAGACAGGACUCAACAUCCUAUCCUAGUGGACAUGAUUUCCUAUUGUGCUUCACCACCUCUAACCUCUAUGAGCCCGAUACUCUCUCUAUAGGUCCGAUCAUUUGAAGCUUGGGCUCUGAUACCAAUCUGUAACGACUCCAAAAUGGACCGUCACCGGCGCUAGAAUUCAGGUCGGCUUAAGGCCGCCAGAACCCAUAGCAAGCCUGCUAUACUCUCUGGGUACCUGUAAAUCUCAUACAUGAUCAUACAUUUCCUGUGAAAAUAAAAACUUUUCUCUGGACCAAGGCUUAACCUGUGCUUGCACUAUCUCUGUACGCUGUACCCCUGAC